GAUGAACGCUGGCGGCGUGCUUAACACAUGCAAGUCGAACGGAAAGGCCCAAGCUUGCUUGGGUACUCGAGUGGCGAACGGGUGAGUAACACGUGGGUGAUCUGCCCUGCACUUCGGGAUAAGCCUGGGAAACUGGGUCUAAUACCGGAUAGGACCACUUCUUGGAUGUUGUGGUGGAAAGUUUUUUCGGUGUGGGAUGAGCUCGCGGCCUAUCAGCUUGUUGGUGGGGUAAUGGCCUACCAAGGCGUCGACGGGUAGCCGGCCUGAGAGGGUGUACGGCCACAUUGGGACUGAGAUACGGCCCAGACUCCUACGGGAGGCAGCGGUGGGGAAGAUUGCACAAUGGGCGCAAGCCUGAUGCAGCGACGCCGCGUGGGGGAUGACGGCCUUCGGGUUGUAAACUCCUUUCGCUAGGGACGAAGCGUUUUGUGACGGUACCUGGAGAAGAAGCACCGGCUAACUACGUG
Molecule: ribosomal RNA, 467 nt
Filed under: uncultured bacterium
Lineage: Bacteria
Description: partial 16S ribosomal RNA
Rfam family: Bacterial small subunit ribosomal RNA
Source: RNAcentral